Molecule: long non-coding RNA, 3755 nt
Filed under: Homo sapiens (human)
Lineage: Eukaryota; Metazoa; Chordata; Mammalia; Primates; Hominidae
Description: HSALNT0353895
Source: RNAcentral
AAGAAUUAUCUCACUGAAGAUGUCCAUAGUGUCAAGGACUAGAAACCCUGCCAUAGAUGUUUCUAUUCUGUGACAUUUAUGUUUAAUGUGGUUUACUAUGCUGUGAAUAAUUGGAGGGGAAACUGGAUUGUGAAAGCAAAACUGCUCCUGAAAAUUGUCACCCAUGACAAGUGUUUGGAAAACAAACCAAACCCUACAAUACUUUCUUCUUAAAACCUGGGCAAGAUCUGCACACCUAGAGGUGGUGUCUAGUGAACAAUUGAUGGUUGCUUCCCAGUAUCUUCUCAUCCAUUCUUUAUGCCUUUUUGCAACAGCUGGGGCAGGAUCUCCAGGGGUUUCUGGUGAACCCACACCAAUUCCAGAUCCUGUGGGGAGGAUGUGGCUGAGGUUGAGAGAUCAGGCAUGUGGUCAUCCUGGCCUGAGAGACCAGUGGCAGAGGGGUGGGUGUGUGACCCAUGCAAAGGGAACUCCAGGUAUUUUCUGGGAAUGCUGGGACAGGAGCUCUCCCCUUAAGAGUGGGAGGGAGUGAGAACUGACACUUAGGAGAGAUCAGAGUGAAAGGCAGGUAGGAUAGGGAUCCAGGACUCUGAGGACUUGCAGUUUGACAAUUGAUCUGCCCUCUGCUUUUACUUCAGCCACUUGCAUUUUGCUUUUGUUUUGUUUUGCUUUUUGAGACAGAGUUUUUCUCUGUCACCCAGGCUGGAGUGCAAUGGUGUGAUCACAGCUCACUGCAGCCUCAACUUCCCAGGCUAAAGCAAUCCUCCCAUCUCAGCCUCCUGCAUAGCUGGGACCACUUUGAUUUUUUUUGACAUAAAUCACCAUAUAUCUUGGGGAACAAAUGUCUCCCACUCAGCAAACUAGAACUGCAAUAGGGACUCAACUGUUGGGGGUUGGCAGCCUGGGGUUCAUGUGGGGAUGUCUUCCCAAGGGAAUCAACUUGAUCUCGAUCCUAAAUCUCCUCUUCUGAGCUUCUGCCUUACACAGCUGUCUUCCCUAACUGGGAUCCCCAGUUAGAACGUUGAUGGCUGUUGAGGAGCAGAAAUCAUGCUGUGUUUUGUCCACCUGGUGAGAACCUGGAGGGUGGGAUGAUGAAUAAGCCAGAGUGUAGGGGGCAGGACCGGCACCUGAGGCAGGGAGCCCCAGCCCUAUUCACAAAGCCCCAUGUGCUGCCUGGGACCCUCGGUCACCAGGACUCACCUCACACAGCCCCCAAUGCUGGUCUCCUGCCCUGCUCUUUUCCACCUGCAAACCUUAGCUGAAGGAGCUCCCUCCGCCUGGAACACCUUCCACCUUCCUACCCUCCUUCCACGCUUGGCUUCAAUCCCCUCUCCUCUGCAAAGCCUUCUUGGAUUACCCUGAAUUCUUAGCCUGUUUAUUGACUGUCAGGGCUGAGUCACAUGGUGUAUUUUCAUUAUCUACCCAACUAGAUUAUAUGCCCCUGGAAGGCAGGCUUGUGUCCUCUGCCUUUGCAUUCUUGCAGUACUAGUUGUCUGGAAGGGCCAAUGGCCCCAGGCACAGAGCCACCUAGGGCUGUGUGAUUGGGGGUUCCUGCUUUACAUGACUUCGUUUGGAAGAAGAGGACAGACAGCUGGCUGGGGAGACAGGCUUUGUGACCCUACACUUCCCAGUCCCGCUGCCAAUCAAGGGACUUACAUGUGUGUAUAAUAUCCAUGUUCUCAGGUGCUCGUGCACUUGCCUUGUUCUUCCAUGUGCUUUUCUGCUCCUCACUUUGUGAUGAUUUCUUCGCACUUCAUUCCAGCUUCACUGCUUCCCAGCUGAGGGACUGCUGCCAAGUUCUCAACUUCUAUGUCCCUCCUCUCCUCACCUGCACCUGCCCUGUAGGGUAAUUAUAAGGCUUCAGCGAGCUACGUCCUGGAGGUGCUCCCUGAAUGUUACCUGUGAGGAGGAGCAGUGGAGCAGGGGAAUGCAGAGGAAGAAGAGGUAUCGUGGAAGAAGGGGUAGUCUUACUGGCUAUGUAUUGAGCAAUUUUCAAAGUUGGGAGUGUCUUACGCAGCCAUUUGUUUAGACCUUGGCUGUCCAGUGUGGUGGUCACUGGAUACAGGUGGCAAGUGAACACUUGAAAUGUGGCUAGUGCAAACAGAUGUGCCACAAACAUAAAAGGCAUUGGGUUUGGAAGAUUUAGUAUGAGGAAGGGAAUGUACAAUACUUAAUAUUUUUUCAUAUGAAUUACAUGUUGAACUAAUAUUUUGGAUAUAUUAGGUUUAAUAAAAUCUAUUAUUAGAAUUAAUUUCACCUGUUUCUGAUAACAAUGUUUUUUGAUGUUUCCACUAGAAAAUUUCAAAUGACAUCUGUGGCUCCCAUUCGCUGAUCUGAAUGGGACUUACAGAAAGUGACUUUGGGCAUAUUGAAUAGAACUUGCAGCCCAUACAAUAUCUCUUGCAUUGGACAAUCAUGGCAGAAAUCCCACUAGAGCAGCCUCAUUGCUUAAAGACCUUGAGCUUUAGGAAAUUGUAAGGUUCUCUAGGGAAUUUUGAGCUAUCAGUCAUUUGCACCGUACUAUGAAUAAGCACCAGAGUCUUUUUUUUGGAAAGCAGAUUUUGAUAUGAGGAGUGGGGUCAGAGGAAGACAGAAGGAAAUAAGAACCGUGACAGCAAUGAGCAGGGAAGAGAGGGGAAAGGGGCCCCUCCCACGUGGGUGAAAGGAACUGAGUGGGCAGAUGGUGAAACUGACCCACAAAUGAUGCCUUCACGGCUUUGUGUCUUGAUUCCUUUUGUCCUUCUCACAGUCCUGUCACGGUGGUCUGCAUGUUGUGGGAGCACACAAUAACUGUUAGAGCUUGAUGGCCAUAAAUAAAAUUUGAAAGAAGGAUUUGGCUAUAUGAGACAAUUUCCCACUUGGCAUGAUUUGGCCUGGAGCCUGCAGACUAUCCACGGGGUGACUAACCAUCACUUCUUUACUGGGCAAGGAGUUUUCCUGUGUGUUUUUUUCCUCCUUAUCUAUUUUCAUGGCAUGUUGAGAUGGGGUUGGAGCCAGGACUUCAUGCAGAAGUGAAGAGCCUGGUGCUCAGCAGAGGGAGUGGCCUGCUUUCGGUCACACAGGAGCGGUGGAUCCCGCAGCUCAAAUUUGUCUUGUAUCACUGAACUCCACAAUGGACAGCCAUUCAUUCCUUACAGAGCCUUAAGACGGCUUAUGAACACUACAAGAAAGCACCCCAGGAGAGACCUCUCUCUGGGGGAGGAACAGUGAACCUGGCUUGCCUGCCUCGGAAAGAAACCCUGAAGGACGUUUUCCUUGUUAAGAUUGCUCUUGUUAAAAAGCUGUGCAGUCCUAAAAUGUUAUUGAACAAUAGCUUUUCACACAAAGGCUGUGUAGCCAACAGUCCCCUCUAACCUGCUGCAACUCCUUGGCUUCCAUCUCCUGCAGAGGCUGCAGGGCAGGAGCCCAGGGCUCUACUGUGGCCUCCUCGGCCUCACCAUCCUCACCAGCUUGGCUUCCAUUCCUUCUGAACAGUCUUCUCCCCUGGGUACUUCUAUUUCCCUGUCUGUUGGGAGGGCUAUAGGAAAAGUGACUUGUAAAACUUUUAGUUAAGACAUCUCUUUAGUGCCAAUUGUUUGUUGGUGCUGUGAUUGUCGAGUUUUGUCUAAAUUUUGUCUAAAGUUAGAUACUUUACUUGGGAACAUUGUCUGAUAUCUACAUCAGAAAAAGAUCCGCACAGGUUAUUUGCAAUCCACUCAAACCAAGAAAUUACCUGGAUAUAGUUGGUGACAAAAGUGAUAGUUGGUAUCAAGGAAUGG